GGGUUGUGAGGUUAAGCGACUAAGCGUACACGGUGGAUGCCCUGGCAGUCAGAGGCGAUGAAGGACGUGCUAAUCUGCGAAAAGCGCCGGCGAGGUGAUAUGAACCCUUGACCCGGCGAUGUCCGAAUGGGGAAACCCAGUGCAAUCCGUUGCACUAUCGUUAGCUGAAUACAUAGGUUAACGAGGCGAACCGGGGGAACUGAAACAUCUAAGUACCCCGAGGAAAAGAAAUCAACCGAGAUUCCCCCAGUAGCGGCGAGCGAACGGGGAGCAGCCCGGAGUCUGAAUCAGCUUGUGUGUUAGUGGAACGGUCUGGAAAGUCCGACGGUACAGGGUGAUAGUCCCGUACACGAAAGCACACUUGCUGUGAACUCGAAGAGUAGGGCGGGACACGUGGUAUCCUGUCUGAAUAUGGGGGACCAUCCUCCAAGGCUAAAUACUCCUGACUGACCGAUAGUGAACCAGUACCGUGAGGGAAAGGCGAAAAGAACCCCGGCGAGGGGAGUGAAAAAGAACCUGAAACCGUGUACGUACAAGCAGUGGGAGCCUCUUUAUGGGGUGACUGCGUACCUUUUGUAUAAUGGGUCAGCGACUUAUAUUCUGUAGCAAGGUUAACCGUAUAGGGGAGCCGAAGGGAAACCGAGUCUUAACUGGGCGUUAAGUUGCAGGGUAUAGACCCGAAACCCGGUGAUCUAGCCAUGGGCAGGUUGAAGGUUGGGUAACACUAACUGGAGGACCGAACCGACUAAUGUUGAAAAAUUAGCGGAUGACCUGUGGCUGGGGGUGAAAGGCCAAUCAAACCGGGAGAUAGCUGGUUCUCCCCGAAAGCUAUUUAGGUAGCGCCUCGUGAACUCAUCUUCGGGGGUAGAGCACUGUUUCGGCUAGGGGGCCAUCCCGGCUUACCAACCCGAUGCAAACUACGAAUACCGAAGAAUGUUAUCACGGGAGACACACGGCGGGUGCUAACGUCCGUCGUGAAGAGGGAAACAACCCAGACCGCCAGCUAAGGUCCCAAAGUCAUGGUUAAGUGGGAAACGAUGUGGGAAGGCACAGACAGCCAGGAUGUUGGCUUAGAAGCAGCCAUCAUUUAAAGAAAGCGUAAUAGCUCACUGGUCGAGUCGGCCUGCGCGGAAGAUGUAACGGGGCUAAACCAUGCACCGAAGCUGCGGCAGCGACACUAUGUGUUGUUGGGUAGGGGAGCGUUCUGUAAGCCGUUGAAGGUGUGCUGUGAGGCAUGCUGGAGGUAUCAGAAGUGCGAAUGCUGACAUAAGUAACGAUAAAGCGGGUGAAAAGCCCGCUCGCCGGAAGACCAAGGGUUCCUGUCCAACGUUAAUCGGGGCAGGGUGAGUCGACCCCUAAGGCGAGGCCGAAAGGCGUAGUCGAUGGGAAACAGGUUAAUAUUCCUGUACUUGGUGUUACUGCGAAGGGGGGACGGAGAAGGCUAUGUCAGCCGGGCGACGGUUGUCCCGGUUUAAGCAUGUAGGCGGAGGUUCCAGGUAAAUCCGGUACCUUAUUAACGCUGAGGUGUGAUGACGAGGCACUACGGUGCUGAAGUGAUAAAUGCCCUGCUUCCAGGAAAAGCCUCUAAGCAUCAGGUAACACGAAAUCGUACCCCAAACCGACACAGGUGGUCAGGUAGAGAAUACCAAGGCGCUUGAGAGAACUCGGGUGAAGGAACUAGGCAAAAUGGUGCCGUAACUUCGGGAGAAGGCACGCUGAUAUGUAGGUGAAGCCCCUGCGGGUGGAGCUGAAAUCAGUCGAAGAUACCAGCUGGCUGCAACUGUUUAUUAAAAACACAGCACUGUGCAAACACGAAAGUGGACGUAUACGGUGUGACGCCUGCCCGGUGCCGGAAGGUUAAUUGAUGGGGUUAGCGGCAACGCGAAGCUCUUGAUCGAAGCCCCGGUAAACGGCGGCCGUAACUAUAACGGUCCUAAGGUAGCGAAAUUCCUUGUCGGGUAAGUUCCGACCUGCACGAAUGGCGUAAUGAUGGCCAGGCUGUCUCCACCCGAGACUCAGUGAAAUUGAACUCGCUGUGAAGAUGCAGUGUACCCGCGGCAAGACGGAAAGACCCCGUGAACCUUUACUAUAGCUUGACACUGAACACUGGUCCUUGAUGUGUAGGAUAGGUGGGAGGCUUUGAAGCGUGGACGCCAGUCUGCGUGGAGCCAACCUUGAAAUACCACCCUUUAAUGGCUGGUGUUCUAACGUAGACCCGUAAUCCGGGUUGCGGACAGUGUCUGGUGGGUAGUUUGACUGGGGCGGUCUCCUCCCAAAGAGUAACGGAGGAGCACGAAGGUUGGCUAAUCCUGGUCGGACAUCAGGAGGUUAGUGCAAUGGCAUAAGCCAGCUUGACUGCGAGCGUGACGGCGCGAGCAGGUGCGAAAGCAGGUCAUAGUGAUCCGGUGGUUCUGAAUGGAAGGGCCAUCGCUCAACGGAUAAAAGGUACUCCGGGGAUAACAGGCUGAUACCGCCCAAGAGUUCAUAUCGACGGCGGUGUUUGGCACCUCGAUGUCGGCUCAUCACAUCCUGGGGCUGAAGUAGGUCCCAAGGGUAUGGCUGUUCGCCAUUUAAAGUGGUACGCGAGCUGGGUUUAGAACGUCGUGAGACAGUUCGGUCCCUAUCUGCCGUGGGCGCUGGAGAAUUGAGGGGGGCUGCUCCUAGUACGAGAGGACCGGAGUGGACGCAUCACUGGUGUUCGGGUUGUCAUGCCAAUGGCACUGCCCGGUAGCUAAAUGCGGAAGAGAUAAGUGCUGAAAGCAUCUAAGCACGAAACUUGCCCCGAGAUGAGUUCUCCCUGAGACCUUGAGUCUCCUGAAGGAACGUUGAAGACGACGACGUUGAUAGGUCGGGUGUGUAAGCGCAGCGAUGCGUUGAGCUAACCGAUACUAAUGAACCGUGAGGCUUAACCUUACAACGCCGAAGGUGUUU
RNAcentral lists this ribosomal RNA (2931 nucleotides) under Enterobacter hormaechei. Its description in RNAcentral is "23S ribosomal RNA". It matches the Rfam family "Bacterial large subunit ribosomal RNA". The record is from RNAcentral. Lineage: Bacteria; Pseudomonadati; Pseudomonadota; Gammaproteobacteria; Enterobacterales; Enterobacteriaceae.